AGCUGGGUCCCGCGCAACGAGGUAUGGCAAACUCCGCCAGGUCCGGAAGGAAGCAACGGUAGUCAUUACUUUCGUGUGCCGCGGGGUCGCCUGGCUGUC
Molecule: signal recognition particle RNA, 99 nt
Filed under: bacterium
Lineage: Bacteria
Also listed under: 1 other name
Description: signal recognition particle sRNA small type
Rfam family: Bacterial small signal recognition particle RNA
About the family: The signal recognition particle (SRP) is a universally conserved ribonucleoprotein involved in the co-translational targeting of proteins to membranes. Archaeal SRP consists of a 7S RNA and homologues of the eukaryotic SRP19 and SRP54 proteins.
Source: RNAcentral